CUAGUAGGCCAAACCACGUUGAAAACACGCAAUCCCGUCCGAUUUAGCAAGUUAAGCAACGUUGGACCUGGUCAGUACUGUAUUUUAGUACAAUCUGAAAAUGCGUUGAUGGA
This 113-nucleotide ribosomal RNA is filed under the name Necator americanus (New World hookworm). Lineage: Eukaryota; Metazoa; Nematoda; Chromadorea; Rhabditida; Ancylostomatidae. The record is from RNAcentral.